Molecule: long non-coding RNA, 129 nt
Organism: Heteronotia binoei (common prickly gecko)
Lineage: Eukaryota; Metazoa; Chordata; Lepidosauria; Squamata; Gekkonidae
Exons: 2
Source: RefSeq, a predicted model, not a curated record
GUUCCAGGGGCUUUUGGGGCUAGAACCAGUGAAGGGCCGGUGAAAGCAAGCCAGCGCUCUCUGCCAUGUCGGGACGAGACGGUGGCAAGAAAAAGCCCUUGAAGCAACCAAAAAAGCAAUCAAAGGAAA